GAUGAACGCUGGCGGCGUGCCUAAUACAUGCAAGUCGAGCGAACAGAUGGGGAGCUUGCUCCUCUGACGUUAGCGGCGGACGGGUGAGUAACACGUGGAUAACCUACCUAUAAGACUGGGAUAACUUCGUGAAACCGGAGCUAAUACCGGAUAAUAUAUUGAACCGCAUGGUUCAAUAGUGAAAGACGGUUUUGCUGUCACUUAUAGAUGGAUCCGCGCCGCAUUAGCUAGUUGGUAAGGUAACGGCUUACCAAGGCAACGAUGCGUAGCCGACCUGAGAGGGUGAUCGACCACACUGGAACGGAGACACGGUCCAGACUCCUACGGGAGGCAGCAGUAGGGAAUCUUCCGCAAUGGGCGAAAGCCUGACGGAGCAACGCCGCGUGAGUGAUGAAGGUCUUCGGAUCGUAAAACUCUGUUAUUAGGGAAGAACAAAUGUGUAAGUAACUAUGCACGUCUUGACGGUACCUAAUCAGAAAGCCACGGCUAACUACGUG
RNAcentral lists this ribosomal RNA (497 nucleotides) under uncultured bacterium. RNAcentral describes it as "partial 16S ribosomal RNA". It matches the Rfam family "Bacterial small subunit ribosomal RNA", at positions 28 to 507 of the family's 1533-position model. The record is from RNAcentral.